AAGUCGUAACAAGGUAACCGUAGGUGAACCUGCGGUUGGAUCAUUAAAAAAAAAUUGAAGCUUUCAACCCUUUCAAGGGUAGAAGCGUCAGUGCUCCUCUAACAAGGAGCUUGACUACUCCAAUUUUGUGAACUUGCAACCAAAAAAUGUUUUGAUAGUGGUGAAAGAUUUGGGCAUUACCAGCCCAAGUUUUUCCCUUCUUGAAAAAAUUGUUAACCCUGAAGAAAUAACUUGUCUUUACCGUUUUUUAUAAAUAAAAAUUAAUAAACAACUUUUGACAACGGAUCUCUAGGCUCUC
RNAcentral lists this unclassified non-coding RNA (298 nucleotides) under fungal sp. RNAcentral describes it as "partial internal transcribed spacer region". The stretch from base 1 to 46 matches the Rfam family "Eukaryotic small subunit ribosomal RNA", at positions 1786 to 1831 of the family's 1831-position model. Lineage: Eukaryota; Fungi. The record is from RNAcentral.